Long non-coding RNA from Ostrea edulis (European flat oyster), 2128 nucleotides. RefSeq lists it as uncharacterized. The record is from RefSeq and is a predicted model, not a curated record. NCBI's taxonomy places the organism in Eukaryota, Metazoa, Mollusca, Bivalvia, Ostreida, Ostreidae. The transcript has 3 exons.
CAAGAUUUUCGUUUACUUGGUAUGUACAAGAUUUUCGUAUACUUGGUAUGUACAAGUUUUUCGUUUACUUGGUAUGUACAAGAUUUUCGUUUACUUGGUAUGUACAAGAUUUUCGUAUACUUGGUAUGUACAAGAUUUUCGUUUACUUGGUAUGUACAAGAUUUUCGUAUACUUGGUAUGUACAAGAUUUUCGUAUACUUGGUAUGUACAAGAUUUUCGUAUACUUGGUAUGUACAAGAUUUUCGUUUACUUGGUAUGUACAAGAUUUUCGUUUCUGGGUAUGUACAAGAUUUUCGUUUACUUGGUCCAUGUAUAUACAAGUAUACAUUUAUUUGGUCUGUAGAAUUAAAAGUUUUACUUGAUAAGUGCAAGGUAUAAAUGUUCUCGGUAUAUAUGUGACAUAUAAUUGCUUGGUAUAUGUACAAGUUAUACGUUUAUUUGAUAUGCACAAGUUUUAGGUUUUAGGUUUACUCGAUGUGCGCGCAUUUUGUACGUCUGGAGAGAAGAGGAAGGAUCACGUGAUUUCUAUUUUUAUUGAACUGAUAACAAUGGCAGCAAUCAUCACAACUGAACGUUUUACAGACUGGGAAGUAUUAAAUAUUCUAUUGUUCUUUCUAAUAUCGUAGUUUGACAAUUCAUGAGAUCAGAAAAUGGGGGUAAGAGGAACUGAUAAUUGAGAUUUACACAUUAAGGUUUGUACAACUUUUCUUCAUUCUUUGAUGUACAUUCUGAAGGGAAUAUUUGAAACAUAAUUGUUAUCUAAAUAAUGAAUGAUUAUUUCUUCGUAUAUAUUGUGCUAAUAUCACUGACCGGGAAGUAUUAUCCAACGCAUAUAUUUACAUUACAAAAAUGUCAAUGCUUUGUAAUUUACUGCUCACAAUUUGCAUGCAAGUAAUUUUGGCAGAACAUCAACAGUUAGCUCAUUUUACUAAAGAGGGUUUUUUAAUCGGAGAGAGAGAGAGAUUCCUCUUUCUCUCUACCCCUUUCUAUGUGUAAUGUUAAAUCCCUGUUUUCCCCAUUGGGGUUGGUGGAUGGAGAUCAGAUAUGGACUGAUGUCUGUCAUCCGUUAAACACUUUAUCAGUCGGAGGAACAACCAGACAGUCUUUAUCCAGAAUACGUGGACUUAACACAGAACACACACCCUCACCAGAGAAUACGUGGACUUAUCACUGAGCACAUACCCUCACCAGAGAAUACGUGGACUUAUCACUGAGCACAUACCCUCACCAGAGAAUACGUGGACUUAUCACUGAGCACAUACCCUCACCAGAGAAUACGUGGACUUAUCACUGAGCACACACCCUCACCAGAUAAUAUGUGGACUUAACACAGAACACACACCCUCACCAGAUAAUACGUGGACUUAACACAGAACACACACCCUCACCAGAUAAUACGUGGAUUUAACACAGAACACACACCCUCACCAGAUAAUACGUGGACUUAACACAGAACACACACCCUCACCAGAGAAUACGUAGAUUUAUCACUGAGCAUAUACCCUCACCAGAUAAUACGUGGACUUAACACUGAGCACACAUCCUCACCAGAUAAUAUGUGGGCUUAAGAACUUGUUAAAACUGCUGUGUAGAAGGUUGAGAUAGUUGUUGCUGUCAACCUCUCGUAGCUAUAUGGGGUAGGGGUAUAAUUUCAGGCCUACUAACUGAAUAUCUGCAUGGAAAUACAAAUUUAUGGUUGAAUAUAUUAUAUAACAUUCUAUCAUUUCAUUUUGAUUGAAUGCAUUAAUGAUUAGAUUUGUAAUCGAUACAUUGAAUGUUGGAAUACAUUACAGGAUGUAUGUAGGCCAAAGUCAGAUCCACACGAAAUCAGCCCAAGCUAGGGACGGACACAGAUUUUGUACACUCGAUUUAAAAUGCAUGAGUGUAGCCUGUUUGGAAGCACGGGUAGAACCGGAACAAGGCUACUGUUUACACCGUUCCGGAGUACAGAUCGGGGCCGAUUUGUCGAGGAAUCAGUCUAUAUAACGAUACUCGGAUUACCGAUUGAUUGAAUAUUGUUUAACGUCCCUCUAGAAUAUUUCACUCAUAUGGAGACGUCACCAUUGCCCGUAAAGGACUGCAGAGUUUAGGCCUCUGCUACAUCUGCUGUGACACGGGACCUCGGGGU